Long non-coding RNA from Triticum urartu, 2755 nucleotides. RefSeq lists it as uncharacterized. NCBI's taxonomy places the organism in Eukaryota, Viridiplantae, Streptophyta, Magnoliopsida, Poales, Poaceae. The record is from RefSeq and is a predicted model, not a curated record.
GAAGCUGCUUGCCCUCCCUCCAAUAUAUUGAUUGUGGGAAAAUGAGUGAACUAUUAUUUUUAUCUGUUAUGGAUGAACAUAUGUGUACUAUUUGUAGCAAACAUCUCUCCAACUGGAAGGAAAAUAUUGAUGUUUGCUCCAUGGCGAAGCACUAAAGAGGCAUGCAGAGACAGACACAGGACUUGCCCUCCCUCCAUGAAACAAGUCCACAAAAUUACAAGUUGAAAGUGAGUGGGAGUAUGAUGGACUGUGUAGACUUGGUAUAGGAGUAGCUUGCAUUUAAGUUUGAAACAAGGGAUUUCCCUACCGCUGUUCAAUGACAUGUACGUUGUGUGGUGUCCGAUUUCAUUGUCUUCGGGAUCGACCAUGUUCGGAUGCGGUUUGAUAACGUGACCGGCCACCGUUGGCAGGGUUAAAAAAGGAUAAAUGGUAACACAGAAGGAGUGUCGUAUUUUCUUUUGUGGGGUUAGAAGAAAAUUCAUUUCUUAAUGAGUUACAAGUUCACUCCUACAAAGCAUAGGAACAUUUGCAGGUCCCGAAUACAACCAUACUGCGGUACGACCCUCGGCACGGCCAAAAGUAACAAAGUAAUGGCUAACAGAAUUCCGGCUCCUACUUACAUGAACAAUGACAUUAACUUAGACUACCUCAGUGCAACCCAUUUCGACUUCCACCCGAGUUUAGACCAUUGAAGAGCGAGGUUGAGACCCUCCUCACAAGUAAGGAACUCAGCUUGAAGUGCCCCAGAGUGUCAUAUUGAUAUAGGGGACGCGGACGUGGGGAUCUUGAGCCAUGCUUAUUGGGUUAUGGGUGUCUAAAUUUUUCUCUCCCGUUGCAACGCACGGGCAUUUGUGCUAGUAAUAAUAAAGCACCGAUUGAGUCUCCGGGUUCACCGUCGCGGCAGUUUUGCUAAACCCCCCUUAUAAUUUUAGGUAAUUAACCCGCAGUCCUGCAGUUUAGGAAUAAGUGAAAAUAACAAUUCGCGGAAAGAACGCAUGGGCUGAUGUUGUAUUGGGCCUCAGGCUGCUGGGAAAACGCAUGGGCUGACCGUGUUGUAUUGGGUCCUGCUCUAGGAAAAACGCACUGGAUGAAAGCACGCCACCUCCGCCGUGAAUCUCGCAGCCACGGCCGGUGGCCAGUCUCCCUCUCCGGCUUCCAUCCAGCGCCGCCGCCGCGCCCUCUCCCCUUCCCACCAGCCCCAAAUCGGUGCCAUUCUGAGUCUCCUCCACCUCCAACCUCCUGCUGGCGGCCGUGUCGGAUUUGGAUCGGAGUCACUAGCGUGUGCGCGCAGGAGACAAAAUCUCACAUAGACUCAGAAGCCAACAAACAAGUUUUCCCCAUCACUUAAAUCCCUCUCCCAGACCAAAACAAUCGAGCGGAAGACGAUCUGGACGCGAUGGCGCUGGAGUGGGUUGUGCGCUACGCGGCGGGCGCUGACGCCAUCAUGCCGCUGCAGCCGACGCCGCUGAGGAUGGAUGUGCUUCGGCACCGCUCUUCAUCAACCUCUACCUCGCUGUAUCCACUCACCCUGCUAUCAUGGUACCAAAAAGCAAGAUCUGGGCGAAAGUUUACGAGGCGAACUGUAUCUCACGUCAACUCGCCCGCCGCUGGGUAGCCGCCGCCCUCGCCACUGGUCCGCCUCUCCAAGUCUCCGACCGGCUGUUCUACUCGGACAUCGCCGUACAGUUCCUCAUCCGCAAACUCUUGUGCUUCUCAACUAGAAAUCAAUCCCCGAGCUAUUAAUGCCCCCCGUAUUUGUCGCAGGAUAUGCCCAAGGUAAUUUGUUCGACAAAAUGAGUGCUAUUUGUUUGAACUAGAGUACUGUACUAUUGCAGUUGUGUACAUGCAUGCAUGGUUCGAAAAUUGUUUCUUUUACAGUUAUAUAUUAGAAUCGAAUUUGUACGUCUGCAUUUUCACAAUCAGUAUGCAGUAGUGAAAAUCCUUGCUCACGUUUCAUCAUGGAAUAUUUUAUUUUAAUGCUCAUAUGUGGUCACGGAAGAAGAGGCCAACACAAUUUAGUUCAAUGAGUAGAGCAGGAAACUAUGGGUGCAGAUGGACCUUGACAGCCUCAACACUGCUUGUGAUAAGUCCAGUGGCGUGUGAUGUGUUGUCGAAUACAUUGGUGAUUUUGCAGGUGAAGGACGGACACCAACGACGGAGAGGAGGAGAAAGAGGACGACGAUGCUGUUAAAGCUAACUAAAAUUUGAGGGGGCUUUGCAAUGUCGAGAAAAUAAUCAUCAGGGUCGGUUUUCAUGAGGAGAAGGCAUGCUAAACUCUUCAUUAUCACCAGUGGGAUUGAUGUAGUGAUUAAGGAAGAAGUUGCUGAUAAAUCUACGAACCAUCAGCAAUUCACCAGCCGGGAGCGGUCCAGGGGUCCUCAAUUUUAAGAUGAGCUGCAGUAUUUUUAAGAUCAGAAUGUGCCAUAUGAGUGGAGUAGAAGAUAUUAAGUAAGAUAGACUUACUGGUACUAAUUCGCGAGGAUCGUCACAACUAUCAGCAGAUUUGCAGAUGGAGAUCAUGUGUCCGCAAACAUAGUAUCCACAAAGGUUGGUCCCUACUUGUUGCUGAGGACACUGAAAUUGUUUGUACAGAAUUAGUCAUGUAUUUGUACUGUUAGGAACAACCUAACCUGUGUUAGAUGUAUUAUUUAUUUCUUUGGAAAAAUAGAAAGAGGUUUAUUUAGAAGCUUGAACAUUUGACUAGCGUAAGAAAAGGUAUUUGUAGACUGUUGGAUAAAUUUUUCGAAAAUAACGG